AGCUAAUAGAUACCCCGGUAGUCCACGCCCUAAACGAUGUCUACUAGUUGUUGGUGGAGUAAAAUCCAUGAGUAAACGCAGCUAAACGCGUGAAGUAGACCGCCUGGGGAGUACGGUCGCAAGAUUAAAAACUCAAAGGAAUUGACGGGGGCCCGCACAAGCGGUGGAUUAUGUGGAUUAAAUUCGAUGCAACGCGAAAAACCUUACCUGGCCUUGACAUGCCACUAACGAAGCAGAGAUGCAUUAGGUGCCCGUAAGGGAAAGUGGACACAGGUGCUGCAUGGCUGUCGUCAGCUCGUGUCGUGAGAUGUUGGGUUAAGUCCCGCAACGAGCGCAACCCUUGCCAUUAAUUGCCAUCAUUUAGUUGGGUCACUUU
RNAcentral lists this ribosomal RNA (376 nucleotides) under uncultured bacterium. RNAcentral describes it as "bacterial SSU rRNA". It matches the Rfam family "Bacterial small subunit ribosomal RNA", at positions 774 to 1141 of the family's 1533-position model. The record is from RNAcentral.